AGGGACCUCAAGGUAGGAUGCUGAACACUUUCACUCAGAGAAGCACUGGGCAGCAGGCUGCAAAACUCUGAUGAAGUCCUGAAACUCAGGAGAGACGUUAUUGUUGAAUAUUGCCAUAAAUCCUUCCAUCCUCCAUCACUGUCUUUGCUGUCUCCAGAUGGAUGCACCUUCCUCAACUUGUGGUUCAUCCCUCAGCCUACUGAGGUGUUGAUCAUGUUCAAACCACUUCCAGAGAAGGCUGCUCUCAGAGCUCUCCACCUAAGCCUAGAAAUCGUUGGUGCAUUUCACAACGUGGUUUCGUAUCUCCUGGCUUCUGCUCAAUUAGGAAAUUCCCCCAACUGCUUUUGUGCCUUAAACCCAGAGCCUCUGACCCCAGACUGAGGGGGGGCUGACAGGAUUGGGAAUGAACUUCAAGACAUACAGAAAAUGAUUGACAGCCUCCAGAAUCCACUGUAUCCCAGAGAAGUGGCCCAGCUGCCAACCAUUCACAGAGAAGUGGUCUUUGUACAGUUUGAUGCAGCAAUUGGGCAUCGACUAUGGUAGCAAUUACAGCCGGUUAGGGAUGGGACUGGCACCUUCUGUAUAAAGAGACUUUUAUUUUUUGUUCACAAAGAAAGAAAAAAAUGUAUGAAAGAUGAAUUUGAAUUUCAUUCAUGGUAUCUGCUUGAAGAUCAUGAAAUAUGCUCUGUAAGUGUAGAUAUUUUCCUUUCAUUAAAAGUGCUCAUUUUCCU
Long non-coding RNA from Strigops habroptila (Kakapo), 731 nucleotides. RefSeq lists it as uncharacterized. The record is from RefSeq and is a predicted model, not a curated record. Lineage: Eukaryota; Metazoa; Chordata; Aves; Psittaciformes; Psittacidae. The transcript is spliced from 5 exons.